Molecule: small RNA, 147 nt
Filed under: Arabidopsis thaliana (thale cress)
Lineage: Eukaryota; Viridiplantae; Streptophyta; Magnoliopsida; Brassicales; Brassicaceae
Description: ATSL046930
Source: RNAcentral
UUUCUAUAUUAUAAUAUUAUAAACACGUCCUACCAUCUAGUCCUACUCUCUAAUCAUGUUCGGUGAAAUGAUUUUUUUUAAUAAUAUUUUUAUUAAAAGAUUUAUAAUUUAAAUCAAUUUAAAGUUUUCUUUCAAAUAAUUAUUUAA